UCAGGUGAGAGGAAAGCAGCUUACCUGGCUGCCUGGAGGAAGGCCCAGCUGUACGGGGACUGGCGGAAGGAGCAGUUCCAGGCCUGUGAGUGACUCGUGUCCUUUC
Molecule: long non-coding RNA, 106 nt
Organism: Tupaia belangeri chinensis (Chinese tree shrew)
Lineage: Eukaryota; Metazoa; Chordata; Mammalia; Scandentia; Tupaiidae
Exons: 3
Source: RefSeq, a predicted model, not a curated record